ACUGCAGCUGGGGAACGUGGUCCCGACCCGACAAUCGUUCCCGGGCAUUUUCGUGAACGGGGAAACUACGAAACAAUCGUCAAUAUCUCAACAACCUUAUAGCAACUAUGAGCCCGAGAACACUGGUCACUUGGCGGUGGUUCAGCCGAUCCCGGCUACUACAUUACCGGAACUUCUAAUGAAUUACGGCGCGGAAGUGUUCAGCUACGAGGACGUGCCGUUCGAUACGAUCACGAUCGAUAAGGAGGAGUCGAGCACGGAAUCGUCGUUCUCGUUCAAAAACAUGACGCACUCCAUCGAGCACGCCUCGCGUAAUGAUCUGAAGAACGCAGCCGCAGGACUCAGCCUAAAGAGUGUCAGAUAAGCUCGUUAGCGGCUGAAAUUUCAUGAUUCUUUUCGUUCUUUCCAUUCCUGUCUUAUUUUUGAAAUCUUUUUUCUUUCCGAUUUUGCUUUGACGAGGGAAACUCAUCAAGAAAAGUUUUCGCCUUCGACACGUUAAAAAUAAGAGAUGUCGAUAGUUGAGAAAUAAGGAACGUCGUUAUUUCAGUCCGUCUCCCUUGUAAAGGUUAUAAUACUCUGUAUCGUCUCUUUGUUAGCACAAUUUCUUGUAA
Molecule: long non-coding RNA, 611 nt
Organism: Syzygium oleosum
Lineage: Eukaryota; Viridiplantae; Streptophyta; Magnoliopsida; Myrtales; Myrtaceae
Exons: 2
Source: RefSeq, a predicted model, not a curated record